Molecule: ribosomal RNA, 304 nt
Filed under: uncultured bacterium
Lineage: Bacteria
Description: partial 16S ribosomal RNA
Rfam family: Bacterial small subunit ribosomal RNA
Source: RNAcentral
CAGCAGCCGCCGCGGGAAUACGAAGGGGGCUAGCGUUGUUCGGAUUUACUGGGCGUAAGGGCGCGUAGGCGGACUGAUAAGUCAGGGGUGAAAUCCCAAGGCUCAACCUUGGAACUGCCUUUGAUACUGUUUGUCUUGAGUUCGAGAGAGGUAAGUGGAACUGCGAGUGUAGAGGUGAAAUUCGUAGAUAUUCGCAAGAACACCAGUGGCGAAGGCGGCUUACUGGCUCGAUACUGACGCUGAGGCGCGAAAGCGUGGGGAGCAAACAGGAUUAGAUACCCGAGUAGUCCCUGUCUCUUAUACC